AUUGAACGCUAGCGGGAUGCUUUAUACAUGCAAGUCGAACGAGUGGCGGACGGGUGUGUAAUAUAUCGGAACGUGCCCAGUCGCGGGGGCAAACUAGUCGAAAGAGUGGUUAAUACCGCUAACUUUUGUGGCGGCCGAUCUUGGAGUAGCUAGUUGGUGGGGUAAAGGCUCACCAAGGCAACGAUCCGUAGCUGGUUUGAGAGGACGACCAGCCAAACUGGGGCUGAGACACGGCCCAGACUCCUACGGGAGGCAGCAGUAGGGAAUUUUUGGCAAUGGGGGAAACCCUGAUCCAGCCAUCCCGCGUGUAUGAGAAGGCCUUCGGGUUGUAAAGCACUUUUGGCAGAGAAGCGGUAUCUACAGAAUAAGCACCGGCUAACUACGUGCCAGCAGCCGCGGUAAUAC
Molecule: ribosomal RNA, 405 nt
Filed under: uncultured bacterium
Lineage: Bacteria
Description: partial 16S ribosomal RNA
Rfam family: Bacterial small subunit ribosomal RNA
Source: RNAcentral